RNA transcript from Balaenoptera ricei (Rice's whale), 5226 nucleotides. It is a transcript of the gene named nuclear factor of activated T cells 2, with no coding region annotated. The transcript is spliced from 11 exons. NCBI's taxonomy places the organism in Eukaryota, Metazoa, Chordata, Mammalia, Artiodactyla, Balaenopteridae. The record is from RefSeq and is a predicted model, not a curated record.
UCCCGCGGGAGCGUCCAGGACCCGCUGCGCCAGGCGCGCCGUCCCCGGGCCCGGCGUGCGUUCCCACGAGGGCAGUGACCCCGCCGCUCCACCCGCCUCUCCGCCCCGCUUCCUGCCUCCUUCGCCACCCCCGACGAGGGCCCAGGAGACAGCCGAGCCUGCCCUCGCCCCCGGCCCGCCGCCCUCCCGCCGCUCUGCGCGCCAUGGACGCCCAGGAGCCGCAGCCCGACCCCGACGGCGGGGACGCCCCGGGCCACGAGCCUGGAGGCAGCCCCCAAGACGAGUUCGACUUCUCCAUCCUCUUCGAUUAUGACUAUUUGAAUCCUAUCGAAGAAGAACCGAAUGCACAUAAGGUCGCCAGCCCACCCUCCGGACUCGCAUACCCCGAUGAUGUCCUGGACUAUGGCCUCAAGCCAUACAGCCCCCUAGCCAGUCUCUCUGGCGAGCCCCCCCGCCGGUUGGGAGAGCCGGAUAGGGUAGGGCCCCAGAACUUUCUGUGCCCUGCCAAGCCAGCGGGGGCCUCGGGCCUGAGCCCUCGGAUCGAGAUCACUCCAUCCCACGAACUGAUGCAGGCAGGGGGGCCCUUCCGCGUGAGAGACACUGGCCUCCUGGUGGAGCAGCCGCCCCUGCCGGGGGUGGGCGCCAGCCCGAGGUUCACGCUGCCCGUGCCCGGCUUCGAGGGCUACCGCGAGCCGCUUUGCUUGAGCCCCGCUAGCAGCGGCUCCUCUGCCAGCUUCAUUUCCGACACCUUCUCCCCCUACACCUCGCCCUGCGUCUCGCCCAAUAACGGCGGGCCCGACGACCUGUGUCCCCAGUUUCAAAACAUCCCUGCUCAUUAUUCCCCCAGAACCUCGCCAAUAAUGUCACCUCGAACCGGCCUCGCUGAGGACAGCUGCCUGGGCCGCCACUCGCCCGUGCCCCGUCCGGCCUCCCGCUCCUCGUCGCCUGGUACCAAGCGGAGGCAUUCGUGCGCUGGGGCCUUGGUUGCCCCGCUGCCCGGAGCCUCACCCCAGCGCUCGCGGAGCCCCUCGCCGCAGCCCCGGGACGACGGCGCCCCUGCCGGGUACCCCCCCGCGGCUGGCUCUGCCGUCCUCAUGGAUGCCCUGAACAGCCUCGCUGCCGACUCGCCCUGUGGGAUCCCCACCAAGAUGUGGAAGACCAGCCCCGACCCGUCGCCGGUGUCCACCGCCCCGUCCAAGGCUGGCCUGCCCCGCCACAUCUACCCGGCCGUGGAGUUCCUGGGGCCCUGCGAGCAGGAGGAGAGGAGGAACUCAGCCCCCGAGUCCAUCUUGCUGGUGCCACCAACUUGGCCCAAGCAGCUGGUGCCCGCCAUUCCCAUCUGCAGCAUCCCAGUGACUGCAUCCCUCCCUCCACUUGAGUGGCCACUCUCCCACCAGUCAGGCUCCUAUGAGCUGAGGAUCGAGGUGCAGCCCAAGCCACAUCACCGAGCUCACUACGAGACAGAAGGCAGCCGAGGGGCUGUCAAAGCUCCGACCGGCGGCCACCCUGUGGUUCAGCUCCAUGGCUACAUGGAAAACAAGCCGCUGGGGCUUCAGAUCUUCAUUGGGACGGCCGACGAGCGGAUCCUUAAGCCCCAUGCCUUCUACCAGGUACACCGGAUCACGGGGAAAACCGUCACCACCACCAGCUACGAGAAGAUCGUGGGCAACACCAAAGUCCUGGAGAUUCCGCUGGAGCCAAAAAACAACAUGAGGGCAACCAUUGACUGUGCGGGGAUCCUGAAGCUUCGGAAUGCGGACAUUGAGCUGCGGAAAGGCGAGACGGACAUCGGGAGGAAGAACACGCGGGUGAGGCUGGUGUUCCGGGUGCACAUUCCAGAGUCCAGCGGAAGGAUCGUUUCCUUGCAGACAGCAUCUAACCCCAUCGAGUGCUCCCAGCGAUCCGCCCAUGAGCUGCCCAUGGUGGAAAGACAAGACAUCGACAGCUGCCUGGUCUACGGGGGCCAGCAGAUGAUUCUCACGGGACAGAACUUCACGGCCGAGUCCAAAGUCGUGUUUACCGAGAAGACCACAGAUGGGCAGCAGAUUUGGGAGAUGGAGGCCACGGUGGAUAAAGACAAGAGCCAGCCUAACAUGCUUUUUGUUGAGAUCCCUGAGUAUCGGAACAAGCACAUUCGGACAUCCGUGAAGGUGAACUUCUACGUCAUCAACGGGAAAAGAAAACGAAGUCAGCCUCAGCACUUUACCUACCACCCAGUCCCAGCCAUCAAGACGGAGCCCACCGAUGAAUACGACCCCACCUUGAUCUGCAGCCCUGCCCACGGGGGCCUGGGGAGCCAGCCUUACUACCCACAGCACCCAAUGGUGGCCGAGUCCCCCUCCUGCCUCGUGGCCACCAUGGCUCCCUGCCAGCAGUUCCGCUCAGGGCUCUCAUCCCCCGACGCCCGCUACCAGCAGCAGAACCCAGCGGCCGUCCUCUACCAGCGGAGCAAGAGCCUGAGCCCCAGCCUGCUGGGCUACCAGCAGCCGGCCCUCAUGGCUGCCCCCCUGUCCCUCGCGGAUGCCCACCGCUCCGUGCUAGUGCACGCUGGCUCCCAGGGCCAGAGCUCGGCCCUGCUCCACUCCAGUCCAGCCAACCAGCAGGCCUCACCGGUGAUCCACUACUCGCCCACCAACCAGCAGCUGCGCUGCGGAAGCCACCAGGAGUUCCAGCACAUCGUGUACUGCGAGAACUUCGCGCCCGGCACCACCAGGCCCGGCCCACCCCCUGUCAGUCAAGGUCAGAGGCUGAGCCCGGGCUCCUACCCCACGGUCAUUCAGCAGCAGAAUGCCACAAGCCAAAGAGCCGCCAAAAACGGACCUCCAGUCAGUGACCAAAAGGAAGUAUUACCCGCGGGCGUGACAAUUAAACAGGAGCAGAACUUGGACCAGACCUACUUGGAUGACGUUAAUGAAAUUAUCAGGAAGGAGUUUUCAGGACCUCCUGCCCGAAAUCAGACGUAGAAGAAGCCAUUAGCAAGACACCAUCCACAUCGCUAACCCCGGAGCCUCCCACCGUCCUCCCCGGUAUCCACCCCACCCGGAGGCUGAGCACGGGACCAUGUACCGGCCGAAAGCUAACCCUCCACUCCGGAGCUCGCCUCCUCUCUCUGUGCAUUCUGAGUCUUGUUCUAAAUCCCAAAGAGCAUCUCGGUUGACUUUCAGGUGUCCCAUCCAAAUCUUAAGUGCCUGCUGACCCCAAAUACAUCCUGAACCAGACCACCCGCUGGAAUGCGCCUGAGAGCUGAGAGCCUGCAGCCGGGGACUCGGGGGACGGAAGAUGGGGAUGCAGUUAAACCCCAGCCCUUAGCCUUCACUUUUUUGGGUCACAGAUACAGCUCUUGUACCUUUUGAAGGAAAGGAGUUCUCUAACAGAGCCACCAAAGGAACGUGACCCAGCUUACAGGCUGAAGACAAACAAAGAAGCCGGCUCAUCUUCCCUAGGGAUUGCCCGUCCACACCAGGGAUGGGCCACAGCUCAAGCUUGAUUUUUAAAUGUUCUGCUUCUGAAUCAAGAACAGUCUGGCUCAUACAAGAUCACUUGUUAAAACUUCUUGGCGUUAUGACAUGUACACUUUUUUUUCUUCUCCACUUUCAAAAAGCUGGCCAGAGGCGGGGGUGGGGGGCCCUCUUGGCUAGCUGCCCUUGCCCCCGGCAGCACGCGGUCACGGGCUAGAGGAGGUCACCCAGGCUGCCAGGAAAAAAAAAAAACCCAAAACAAAAGCCCACCUCAGAGGCUGUUAGUCACCUGUCUGCUAGAAGAAACCAUCUCCAGAGAAAGGAGGGGGAACGGCUCUGUGGAAGAAGGAAGCACCUAUUUGUUGCUUGAGGAUGCUGCUGACUUCAGCUCUGAGCCUCCGUCUUGUCACUAAGAACUGGAAAGUGUUUAGAUCCCUCCAAUUAGGGACCUAGUAGGUGAUUUUGAUGUAACAAAACUGCCUGUGUUGUAAAAUGGGGAGUCUAAAAAAGACGCAAGAGUAAUGGGGAGUUCCUAGAACAGAAGUGCAGGCUAAUGUUUACAGAGCUAACUGAAUCCUGGUAGAUAAACCCCCGUACACAUUACCCAAAGGACAUCCAGAGUUUUCCAGCAAAGACACAGACUAGACGAAUCAAGUCGAUUCCUUCUAAGAACUGGGAAGCACUGAUGUAGCCUUUCUUGUUUACAUCCAGUGGCCAAGCCGUCCCUCUCAGGAAGCCAGCCUUGGCCAGUGCGGGAGCUGUCAUGUGUAGACAGAUCGGAAGCUGAUGUGUUCUCAUUUCUCACUCUGGACUAAAGGGGAGGCUUGAGUUUAUUUUCACGUCAAACCCUUUCCAAGACCUUCUUAUUUGUUCAGAAUUGAAAGAAUGUCAGGGGUCUGGUUAACAACUUUGUUUGCUUUACGUUUACAAGUGGCACAGGGGUUGUGACAUUCUUGACGAGUCGGGGUAAACCUUCCUGAACUCACUUUUGGAGGGCCAGGCCCUUAGCAGCUACCCAACAUAUCUUAACCUUGGGUCUCCCAAGCUUGGGUCUCGGGCAUUAAAUCUCAUGGAGCCAAACUAGCCAAUGCAAGUGGUUUUCCUGCAUUCCAACUAAAUGCUUAAGAAAAAGAAGCAUCACAUGAAACUGAUCACAAACAUCAAUUUCUCUCAGCUUUCAUGAGUGCCUUGAGUUAUAGCCAACAUCACUGUCUUAACUCAGUUUGUUUAGAAACAAACUUUUCUGGUGAUUGUUGAGCUAGCGGUGGCUCCGUAAGCCAGCCCUUCUGAAAGUGAACUGGAGUGUUGGGUGCUGGCAGAAAGGUUUAACACCCUGCCUUUAUGCAGCUGUUGGCCAAUUAUAAUAAACUCCACCUGCCUAGUUCAGGCUUUGGAUGCAAAUGAUGCUGUUCUAUUAGCAGGUGCUUUCAGCACUCUGAUUGGCCCGAAUGGAUGGAUGCUGUGGUUGGGACAAGCUUAGCAUCCUGACACACCUUGUCAAAGAACCUCACUCACCCCUGUUGCCUCUACAGCCCUCAGAGGGGAGAAAAUGUUGAGAAUGCCCUCGCUAAUUCUCCAACAAAUAGAAGUCUCUCCCACAGGGUGGUACUGGAAGGCUUAGGUUUCGAAAAUCUUGACUGUUAAAAGGAGUUUGAAUACAUCACAUUCCUAUGCAAAACAUUUUUAACCUUCAGUUUAAUGUAGUUUAUUUUUGCUAUAUGUAAAGUAUUUUUAUACGGCUUGUAUCAUGAUAGUUUAGCAAUAAAAC